AGUGGAAAAGGGCAGAAAAGCAGGGAUCUUCUUCAACUGUCCCUUGUCAUCCAGGAAGUGCUGUGGGUUGAAGUCUUUGGGGCUAGAGAAGAACUUUGGGUCUGUCAUCAGAGAACCCAGUAUAGGAAACACUUCAGUGCCCUGGAAGAGAGAAGAUGGAGUUUAAGAAUAUGGAUAAAUGGAGAAAGGAUCACAAAAGGUGUUAGGGUCUAAAUGAAGAGAUCUGAAAGGCACAGAGUUGGUGGUCUCCUGAGUAAGGGAUAUUAGGGAGUAUGAGUUUUGAGGUGAUGUGAUGUGUGCCACCAGGAGUAGGAGAUUUGAGCUCCAUGGGUUCAUGUUCUGAGACAGGCUGCUAGAGUGACACCAGGCCUUUGUCUCCAGCCCAGGAGUUGAGAUAUUGGAAGGCAUCAAGGCAGAGGAGCAGAUAGAACUUGGAGUUCAAAGCAAUGAGACAAGAAGUUGGAGACAUGUGGAUAAAUCUCCAGAGACACUAAGUCUAGGAAAGGUGACAAUAAUCUAUCUAAUCAGAGGACCCUGGUGAGGCUGACAUAGUAGUUGGGGGAAUAGAGUGGAGUUAGAUAGCUGUAGAUGGAAAGGGGCCCUGAGGCAUCAGGAAGUGGGCUGAAGGCCCCUCCUGAUGUCCAUGGCUGUACCUUGGGGAGGAAGAAGCCACGGAAGGAAGUAUCCUUGGUAAUCCUUCGAGGAAUGCCCAAGGGAGCAAAGUUAGAAAAUCUCUGGAUCUCAUUGAUCACAGCCUGGGUGUAGGGCAUCUUCAUAUGGUCCUCAUAUUGGGGCUGUCGGUUCCUGCCAAUCACUCGGUCAAUCUCCUCAUGGACCUUGGCUGGAAGACAAGGGGUGAUGGAGUGUUUUUAAAAGUCCAGGAGCCUCAAAGCAGCCAUCAACUGUGGAUUAAGUUCCUCAUGGAGGAGAGUGACCCAACAGGCACCAUUUCUGGACUUUUCUUUGGAUCUUAUUCUCAAAGGGUCCAGACAACUAUGGGAAAGGGUGAUUUCCAGCUGCCCUGGUUUAGAUGUCCCAUCCCCAGAUGUUGGGAUCACCUUUUGCAUGUGGAUGAGAAAGGAGUCAAUGAAGUCUCGUGGGGAAUUGGGGUCCAGGGUACUCUGGUUCUGCUUCACUUUCUGUAUCAUGAAGUCUUCCAGUUUAUGAGAAUCCUUGAUGAUCUGUUGCUGUGGUCCGGGCAGGUACUUCAUAACUGAAUGGAACAUGUCAUAGAGCUGGGGGUGGGAGGAGAAAAGAUGGGAAUGAGACGUGUCAGUAGCAACACCCAGUGG
Mus musculus (house mouse) is the source of this 1292-nucleotide long non-coding RNA. RefSeq annotates it as predicted gene, 51444. NCBI's taxonomy places the organism in Eukaryota, Metazoa, Chordata, Mammalia, Rodentia, Muridae. The record is from RefSeq and is a predicted model, not a curated record. The transcript has 3 exons.